AAGGUGGAUUCCCAAAGACCGUCAUUGUGAAGAAAACUGUUGAGGAUCAAAAAGGCGUCGCUAAUGAUCAAUUCGGUCAGGUAAAGAAUCUCGGCCAAGGAUUGACAAAGGAAAUCAUGACCUAACGAACAUUUGGAAUUAAGAAUUACAACGAUAAAGGUGACUGGAAUGCUGCUAAAUGCAUAACAGG
Molecule: ribosomal RNA, 190 nt
Filed under: uncultured Strombidinopsis
Lineage: Eukaryota; Ciliophora; Spirotrichea; Choreotrichida
Description: partial Eukaryotic large subunit ribosomal RNA
Source: RNAcentral